This is a non-coding RNA of Leptonychotes weddellii (Weddell seal), 315 nucleotides long. Lineage: Eukaryota; Metazoa; Chordata; Mammalia; Carnivora; Phocidae. The record is from RefSeq and is a predicted model, not a curated record.
GGGACAAGUACCCAAGGACAACAGAUGGUGAGGACACCUGAGAAGACCCUAUCUGACCUGCCCACCCCCAGCCCCAUCAAACAACAUGCUCCUGAUCUAGUUUCACAGCACACAUCCAAAUUUAACAAUUCAGAGAAGAGUUGAAUUUCUGCAGCUGCUGGAGCACACUGGAAUAUCAAGUUAAAACAGCUUCCCAGGAGUGAACAGAAAAGAGACACCAGGAAUGUGUGAGCAUAGAGAAAAUCCAUGUGAGGACACAGCAAGAAGAUAGCCAUCUACAAGCCAAAGAGAGAAGCCUCAGAAGAAACCAACCCA